Molecule: ribosomal RNA, 254 nt
Filed under: uncultured bacterium
Lineage: Bacteria
Description: partial 16S ribosomal RNA
Rfam family: Bacterial small subunit ribosomal RNA
Source: RNAcentral
UACGUAGGGUGCGAGCGUUAAUCGGAAUUACUGGGCGUAAAGCGUGCGCAGGCGGUGAUGUAAGACAGUUGUGAAAUCCCCGGGCUCAACCUGGGAACUGCAUCUGUGACUGCAUCGCUGGAGUGCGGCAGAGGGGGAUGGAAUUCCGCGUGUAGCAGUGAAAUGCGUAGAUAUGCGGAGGAACACCGAUGGCGAAGGGCAAUCCCCUGGGCCUGCACUGACGCUCAUGCACGAAAGCGUGGGGAGCAAACAGG